GAAAUAAUCUGCCCCUAAGUCCAGUUUUACUACAAUUAGUCCAAGACGAUGCAGUUGCUACUCAUAUAUAGAAUUCUUCUCUCUUCGAUUGAGAUCAUUAGUAGCCUGCGAACAUUGGCGGUGGUGGUGAUGCGUAUUGGUGGCCGAUGAACGGUGGUAUGAUGAAUUCAUCGUCACUUGGAGCUGGUGCAUGAGCCGGAGGGGUCUCUUUCUUUUCCACCGGUGCUGGCGGUGGUGAUUGGACUGGUGGGGAGUUGAUCUUGGGCGGUCUUGGCGGAGGAGAGUAGACUACUGGUGGAGAUUGCGACGGCGGUGGAGAAAAGACCGGUGGUGGCGGUGAAUAAACAGGUGGUGGUGGCGGGGGGGAAUGAACCGGUGGAGGCGGUGAGUGAACAGGUGCUGGCGGCGGCGGCGAAUGGACUGGGGGAG
RNA transcript from Arabidopsis thaliana (thale cress), 429 nucleotides. RefSeq lists it as uncharacterized. Lineage: Eukaryota; Viridiplantae; Streptophyta; Magnoliopsida; Brassicales; Brassicaceae. The record is from RefSeq. The transcript is spliced from 2 exons.